AAUACAUUUUAGAGUGAAAAUGACAACUCAAAUGGGGAAAUUAAAGAAAUCUUAUAGUGAGAGAGUUGGAGUACCUGUAACAUCCUUAAGAUUUCUUUUUGAUGGAAGAAGAAUUAAUGAUGAUGAAACACCAAAACAGACCAGUGAAAUUUUUUUGCAGACCAGCACUGGACCGUGGCCUAGCAGUUGAAAAACAGCUGAUCUAGACUCAAGUCUGGGUUGGAUCCUUGAAAAUAUUCUUGGAUAAUUUGACUUGGAUGUCGAGCCUCCUUCAUAGCCUAUUUUGGACUAGCUAAAUCCACAAUACAUGAAAAAUUUUCUGCUUGAAAUGGAAAAUGAUGAUGUUAUAGAAGUAUACCAAGAGCAAACUGGAGGAAAUUAUAACUUUUGUGAUAGCAGUUCAUGACAAUAUUUUUACUAGUACUUGAUUGCUUACUGUUUUCUCAAUUCAUUAUAUUUCCUUUGAAAUUAGUACAAGGUGGCUGUUGAGAACAAAUCACAAAGGAACUCUUUUUGAGUGGAAAAAGUAAGUUUAUUUUCUAUAAUUUCAAAGGUUAUGCAUUUCAGGCUUAAUGCCCCCUUCAGUCCUAAUAUUAUAGUGAUAGCUGGAAUAACUAAAUUAUUAAAACCAUGGGUAAAAUAAGUAAAACUGUAAAAAUAAAUAUAAUUUCAUAAAAUGUAUAAAGUUUUUUGAUUAAAAAUGUAAAACCUUAAAAACCAAUUAAAACUGCUAAAAUUAAUUUUAUAUGAUUUAACCAAAAUAAUUUUAUUUGUACAGUUUUAUUUAUUUUACCCCUGGUUUUAAUAAUUGUUAUUCCAGCUGUCACUAUAAUAAUAGGACUGAAGAAGACCAUUAAGCCCAAAAUGCAUAUCCUUUGAAAUCAUAGAAAAUAAACUUAUUUUUUCCACUCAGAGUUCCUGUGUGAUUUUGUUCUCAGCAAUAACCUUGUGCUAAUUCUGACAGAAAUACAAAAAGUAUUUUUACUAUUUAAUUUGUAACUUUGUUCAUUUAGAAUUUUUUUUUGUAAAAUUUAAAAUAUUCCAAAAAUCUUUUUCUGAAACUUUAUCACUUUUACUUAAUUUUUUUUUUAAUUUUGUAAUAAUUUACCAUAAUUCUUUCUCAAAUGUUUGAAUGCUCCUAUUAAGACUCUAGCAUUCAUUUUAAGAAAUGUUUUAAAAUAUUUUAUAAUAAAUAUUUUGCUUAUAUACUUGGUUUAACAUUCUUGGUUGAAGAGAGUAAUUUGAAUUCACUUCUUUACAUUUCAUUUUGUUAAAAGUUCUGAAGUAUAAAUUGUAAAAGUUCAUCUUAUAAGAGGCAAUCUGUGGUGUGCUGCACCACUGGCAGACUAACAAUGCUAACAAUUCCCAAAAAUUUUAGAAAUUGAAAUUCAAAUGUCAUAUAUAAAUAUAUAAAUUCAACAUAAAAGUAUUAUAUAGUAUUAUAUUAGGUGAAUAAUUUUAUAGGAAGAAAGUUUUGGAAACUUUUGAAACUUUCAGAUUGUGAAACCACAUCUUAUUUUAGUUAUGAUUUAAUUGACUUCUAAAUAGCCAAACUCCAUCAAGUAUGCCAUGUCACAAGUUGGUGUAAUUGCCAUGUUACUUUGGAAUCUGAAUAUCAAAUACAGAUUAUUCAGUAGUAUAUGAUUAAUUGUAAAACAGCUUAAGCCAAAGUUAUUCUUGCCGAAGUUUUGACCAAAUCUGCAACUGGUGAAACAGUAUUCAUACGACUCCUUUCUUGCAAUGAAAAUGAGAAUUUAUUAUGAAACUAACCUUUGUCAUGACUAUUAACAAAUUGUAAAGCUGAACCCUCCACAAAGUUUGUAUUUAUUUAUCCAAACCUACUUUUAUCAAAAACUUUGUUACCCUAUCCAAGGGUAUGGCAGUAACCAUGAUGUAAAAAUAAAAAUUGUUAAUGGCAAA
This 1920-nucleotide long non-coding RNA is filed under the name Centruroides sculpturatus (bark scorpion). RNAcentral's name for it is "uncharacterized LOC111625031". The record is from RNAcentral. Lineage: Eukaryota; Metazoa; Arthropoda; Arachnida; Scorpiones; Buthidae.